GGUCUGGUGGUCUAGCGGUAUGAUUCUCGCUUAGGGUUCACCCUAUAGCAAUAAUGCGAGAGGUCCCGGGUUCAAUCCCCGGCCAGACCC
This 90-nucleotide transfer RNA is filed under the name Bombardia bombarda. Its description in RNAcentral is "tRNA-Pro". It matches the Rfam family "tRNA". Rfam says of the family: Transfer RNA (tRNA) molecules are approximately 80 nucleotides in length. Their secondary structure includes four short double-helical elements and three loops (D, anti-codon, and T loops). Lineage: Eukaryota; Fungi; Ascomycota; Sordariomycetes; Sordariales; Lasiosphaeriaceae. The record is from RNAcentral.